Molecule: long non-coding RNA, 723 nt
Organism: Mesocricetus auratus (golden hamster)
Lineage: Eukaryota; Metazoa; Chordata; Mammalia; Rodentia; Cricetidae
Exons: 3
Source: RefSeq, a predicted model, not a curated record
CCUACACAGAUAUCUUAGUUUCAAGGGCUCUGCCUGUGGUCUUCCCAUCAGCCAUGUGGAACCCACUUGGAACACUUUGGGAAGAAGCUGCCUGGGUUCACUAGAGGGCUGUACAUUUGGAUAAAAUAUCAAAAACAGUGGCUGUUACCGUGUUCCCGUGCAAACCACUGGAGACAAUCAGAGGAAUAUGACAUGUUUAGGAGUCCCUGCCACUGUUGGGCCAGAACACUGGGAUCUUCAGGCAGUUGUUCCUGUAUUAGAAGAUGGGCCUGUUUAAAUUCUUCCCCAUGAAGGAGCCUUGACCCUCCUUAGUCCAGUGUUUUCCCUGGGCAAAUAUAAGGAGUGGUAGCCACUCAUCCUGCCUCACCUCUUGCCAAGAUGUGUUUUGUGGAUCCUUAUGAUUCUCUGGAUCCAAGCAUUACUGCAGUCCCAAUUGCAGAAUAAUUGACAAGGAUUGUAUCCCCCCUUUAUGGGCUCAUUUUACAUCAGCUCCUAUGUGUUUCCAAUUUUCAACAUCAAUGGUUCCUUUUUCAGGAAAUCAAGGAUUGAAUUUUACAGGCACUUAUACAAAGUUUUAGAGCUGUUGCUCUGAGUAUUUUUUGCUUAUCUUGAUCUUUACAUGCAUCUCAAUCACUGUAUGAAAUACUUUGCCUCAGAAGACUGAGAGGAACCCAUGCUAUGUCGUUCUCACGCUCCUGAUUCCAUGGGCAAGAAGACUGAACU